UUUGUUUUCAGGCCCGAGCUAAACAUGACAUCGCAAAUACUUUUGUUGCUGGAUGUGCUACUGGAGGUGCUAUAUCAGCUAAAGGUAACCCUCUUUUUCAUUCAUUUUCUCUCAUUUAUUAUGUUUUUGUCUCUCAUAACCUGUAUUUAAGAAAUGAGGGGCAGGCAUGGCAUGGCAUGCCUCCAUAAGAAAACCAAUGGCAAAUGACCAGAAGUGACUACCCUGAUGAUUGCUUCUUCUUGGUUGCUAAGGAGGCAUUGAAACUAAAUUUUAGCUAAAUGGUAGAGUAUACCUUCGGUUGUUGUGAGCUUAUAUACUCUAGUCCUGUAGUUCUGUUUGGUAAAAUGAUUAACUUCAAGCAAGAUUGAGUUUAUGCUCUGCUCUGUCUUUCACCAUAGUAUAAUCCAGAUCACUAUAAACACUUAAUUAAACUUAAUUCAAAGUCCAUAAUAAAGUCAUACAUACACAAUCACAAGUGAUAAAUUAACAAGUUAAGCCAGAGCAUUAACAAGUGCAACUUAGCAACUCCAAAUAUACAAAAUACAAAGCACCAAGUUUUUAGCAAGUGGCAAGACAUAAACGCCAAAAUUAAGUAGUCAAAUUUUAGAUAUCUAAUCUAGACAAUCUUUCAAGUUAAAAUGACUGAUCCCACCAAUCUUACAAGUAAGAUUGUCGAUCCCACAGAAUCCUACCAGAUUGCAAUUCUGCCUGUUAUUUGCAUCGUCCAAGUUGUCAAGGAUCUUAUGAGCAAUAUUGCAAUUUUGACUAUAUUGGCAAAUAAUUUCAACGUAUUAUUACAACCCUAGUCUUUCUCAAAAAAAUUUAAGUGUGUUGCAUGGUGUGGGGGUUUCUUUGUAUGGUUUUUGGUGUCUGGGAUGGUUAGAAAUUUAGAAAGAAGAAUAUUUAUAGGAGUGACUUAGGUGGGUGCAAAGGUGGAUUUUGUUUCUUUUAGGAGAUGGGGUUGAGCACUUAUGGGAUAAAAUGUAUGGCAACAAAGGUUGCAAUUCGACAUCAUUGUCUUUGUUGUGCAUACUCAAGGAGAUGGGGUUGAGCACUUGUGGGAUAAGUGAGUAAUGGUGAUGGGAUGCAUGCAGACAUACUCAUGAGCUGGGCUUGCUUGCAUUUAGAAGAGAGAAUGCUACUUAACACUUUAACUGAGCCAAGCCUGAAGCUACAUAUACUGUUACCGUAUUCUCAAUAGGGUCUCCUUACUGAGGUGUUACUAAAAGCCUUAAUGCAGUGCCCUAAUAUUAAGAGCCAACAAACCACUGAAACAGUAGUGCCUUACACAAGGAACUGUUUCUCUAAUUCUUCAUUGAGUGCGGUGCAAAGGGAGUUUGGUGUGGAUGGAGAGCACAAAGUGGCGUUCAUCAAGUGUCUAGAGGUUUUCUGUCUUUGCAGUGGCUUAACAACAUUUAUCUUGUAUUUCACCCAAAACAUAAGGUUAUUGGUAGAAAUAUUUUUUUUAUCCCUUUCAAAGUUGUUUUCUAUUUAAAUAUAAGUUAGGGCUGUUGAUGAAAAUUGAAAACCAAAAAUCAGAAUACGCAGUUGUAGCUGCAAGUUUUCAUAGGGUUCUGACAGUGGUCCAAUAUGGAUGCAGUGCUUUGAUAUAGGUGCUGUAUUUUUAGUUUUAGGUCUUGUUGGUUUACUCAUCUCUUUCCUCGUUCUUGAAGCAAUUUGUGCAUUGUAGGCUGUUAAAAUGAAAAAGAAAAUUGAUUUAAAAAAGAGAAAAGAAACAAUUAUCAGGCCGGAUAAAGAACUUGCAAACCAAGAAUUGAAACCCUUAAUGCUCCUUGAUAAUUCUGGUCUCUCCCUGUGUUUCGCAAUGACAUUUGUUAAUGUUUUCCAAUGUUUUUGUGUGGUUGUAGGUGGUUCAAAAGCUGCAUGUAUGGGUUGCGCUGGCUUUGCAGCAUUCUCUGUCGUAAUAGAGAAGUUUUUGGAGAGGCAUCAAUAAGUGAACUGACUCGGACCAGUUUUGUAUUCUUCAAUCAUAGUUUGACUUCUUGAUAAAAAUACUUUACUCAUAAUGAUAAAGGGGCAUGAUAGGGAGAAACAUGAAUUGCAGUAUUAAUCACACCUGUAAUUUAUUUGUAUACAAUGUCAUUGAUGGAUGCAUUCUCCGAACUUGGGAAAGCUCUUUGUAAUGACAUGAUUUAGUAUUGGAAAAUGCUUAGCAUUACGAAAACGCGAGGAGCAAUAAUUGCGAUAGACUCUAGUGUUUGGCACCGGUGCAUAGUAGUAUUAGUUAGUUUAAAUAGUUUUUUCUUUGUAAUUCAUUCUUAUUUUUGAAAGUUUUUAUGACGCUUAUGUACCCUUGUCAUAUCUAUUUAAGUGAAAAAUGUAUUAAAUUUUGGUUCUUGGGUAAAAAAUUAUAUUCAAUCA
Molecule: long non-coding RNA, 2382 nt
Filed under: Trifolium pratense (red clover)
Lineage: Eukaryota; Viridiplantae; Streptophyta; Magnoliopsida; Fabales; Fabaceae
Description: long non-coding RNA (TPRA_LNC001422)
Source: RNAcentral